RNAcentral lists this small RNA (475 nucleotides) under Histoplasma ohiense. RNAcentral's name for it is "hypothetical lncRNA". The record is from RNAcentral. Lineage: Eukaryota; Fungi; Ascomycota; Eurotiomycetes; Onygenales; Ajellomycetaceae.
CAUGUAUGAGUUACCAUCGAGCUAGGGUACAGAAUCAUCAUGAGCUUGCGAAUACACUCGUAUUCCCCCUCCAUUAAUGCAGAUACGUGAUUUCGCCAAGUUUCGUGCAAGUCGAAUCCAUUCAGGGAAUCGUGGACAUUAGUGGCAAGUGCGGGGACUUUGCAUGGGGGGCACUCAUUGAAGUGUAACUAAUUACUGUUUAUUUAUUAAGGGGUUCAGAGCAGCAAACUGCUGACAGUACUUACUCAAUACCGCCGAUGUACAUGUACAUGUACAAUACUUGGUAAUAAGCUCCUCAAAGGACAACUACUUUUCCGCCCCGCUUUUUCAAUGUCAAUAUUUCGAUGGGCUUCGGAACUUUGUAAUUCAGCAACUUCUCAGAGGGGUGUUGACUGAAGUCGAUUAUUUUUCAUUUCCAGCUCAUCUCAUGGGAAAGAGGAAACAAGCAAUUAGGGAUUCAAAAAUAAAUACAAUA